This 253-nucleotide ribosomal RNA is filed under the name uncultured bacterium. RNAcentral's name for it is "partial 16S ribosomal RNA". It matches the Rfam family "Bacterial small subunit ribosomal RNA", at positions 524 to 776 of the family's 1533-position model. The record is from RNAcentral.
UACAGAGGGUGCAAGCGUUGUUCGGAAUUACUGGGCGUAAAGGGCUCGUAGGCGGCCAACUAAGUCGGAUGUGAAAUCCCCAGGCUCAACCUGGGAACUGCAUCCGAUACUGGAUGGCUUGAAUUCGGGAGAGGGAUGCAGAAUUCCAGGUGUAGCGGUGAAAUGCGUAGAUAUCUGGAGGAAUACCGGUGGCGAAGGCGGCAUCCUGGACCGACAUUGACGCUGAGGAGCGAAAGCUAGGGGAGCAAACGGG